CGGGAGGGAAGAUGGAAUGGGGUAACCCAUUCGGACGGUACCUCCAGAAGCAGCCACGGCUAACUUCGUGCCAGCAGCCGCGGUAAUACGAAGGUGGCAAGCGUUAUUCGGAUUUACUGGGCGUACAGGGAGCGUAGGCGGUUCGGUAAGCCCUUUGUGAAAUCUCCAGGCUUAACCUGGAAAAGUCGGAGGGGACUGCCGGGCUAGAGGACGGGAGAGGAGCGAAUUAUUCCGGGUGUAGGGGUAAAAUGUGUAGAUAUGGGGAAGAAGGCCUGUGGAGAAGGGGGCGCUGUGGAAAGUUUCUGACGCUGAGGCUCGAAAGCGUGGGGGGCACACAGGAUUAGAUACCCUGGUAGUCCACGCCUUAAACUAUGAAUACUAAGUGUCGGCGGGUUACCGCGG
This 402-nucleotide ribosomal RNA is filed under the name uncultured Nitrospira sp. RNAcentral's name for it is "bacterial SSU rRNA". It matches the Rfam family "Bacterial small subunit ribosomal RNA", at positions 434 to 842 of the family's 1533-position model. Lineage: Bacteria; Pseudomonadati; Nitrospirota; Nitrospiria; Nitrospirales; Nitrospiraceae. The record is from RNAcentral.